Molecule: ribosomal RNA, 302 nt
Filed under: Pseudomonadota bacterium
Lineage: Bacteria; Pseudomonadati; Pseudomonadota
Description: Proteobacteria bacterium partial 23S ribosomal RNA
Rfam family: Bacterial large subunit ribosomal RNA
Source: RNAcentral
CCUAUCUGCCGUGGGCGUUGGAGAUUUGAGAAGAGUUGUUCCUAGUACGAGAGGACCGGAAUGAACGCACCUCUGGUGUUCGGGUUGUCAUGCCAAUGGCAUUGCCCGGUAGCUACGUGCGGACGGGAUAACCGCUGAAAGCAUCUAAGCGGGAAGCCUCCUUCAAGAUGAGAUCUCCCUGGGACUUUAAGUCCCCUGAAGAGCCGUUGAAGACUACGACGUUGAUAGGUUGGGUGUGGAAGCGCAGCGAUGCGUUGAGCUAACCAAUACUAAUUGCUCGUGCGGCUUGACCAUAUAACAGA